AUGGCGGCAGGCGGCUGCGCAGGAGGAGGGGGAGGCCCGGCGGGAGUACGGGGGGUUAACUGGGAGCACUGGUUUGGACUGGGAGGGGGUUUGUGUUAUACUGGUCCAUACUGGGAGCACUGGUUUGUACUGGGAGCCAUACUGGGAGCACUGGUUUGUACUGGGAGCCAUACUGGGAGCACUGGGAGGGGUUACUGGUCCAUACUGGUCCAUACUGGGAGCACUGGGAGCCAAACUGGUCCAUACUGGGAGCACUGGGAGCCCUGGGGGGUAUUACUGGUUCAUACUGGGAAUACUGGGAUGGGGUUUGGGGUGAUACUGGGAGCACUGGUUUGUACUGGGAAAGGGUUUGGGUCAUACUGGUCCAUACUGGGAGCACUGGGAGCCAUACUGCCAUACUGGUCCAUACUGGGAGCACUGGGAUCCAUACUGGGAGCACUGGGAGCCAAACUGGGAAUGCCAACCCCAUACUGGGAGCACUGGGAGCUGUCACUGGUUCAUACUGGGAGCACUGGGAGCCAAACUGGGUCAUACUGGUCCAUACUGGGAACACUGGGAGCCAUACUUGGAAUACUGGGAGAGGGUUUGGCCCAUACUGGUUCAUACUGGGAGCACUGGGAGAGGGUUUCGGUCAUACUGGGCCAUACUGGGAGCACUGGGAGGAGUUACUGGUCCAUACUGGGAGCACUGGGAGGAGUUACUGGUCCAUACUGGUUCAUACUGGGAGCACUGGGAGCGGUCACUGGUCCAUACUGGGAGCACUGGGAGCCAUACUGGGAGCACUGGGAGGGGUUACUGGUCCAUACUGGGAAGGACUGGGAUGCAUACUGGGAGCACUGGGAGCGGGGAGAAUCAUACUGGGAGCACUGGGAGCCUUACUGGGAGCACUGGGAGAGGGUUUGGCCCAUACUGGACCAUACUGGGAGCCAAACUGGUCCAUACUGGGAGCACUGGGAGCUGUUACUGGUCCAUACUGGUCGCACUGGUUUGUACUGGGAGCCCCGGCGAUGACGUCACCGCCCCGCCCGCCAAUAAAAUCGCUCUUCUAACCCCGCUUCGUGCAUGACGUCA
RNAcentral lists this long non-coding RNA (1071 nucleotides) under Taeniopygia guttata (zebra finch). Its description in RNAcentral is "lncRNA (ENSTGUG00000021971.1)". The record is from RNAcentral. Lineage: Eukaryota; Metazoa; Chordata; Aves; Passeriformes; Estrildidae.